Molecule: ribosomal RNA, 72 nt
Filed under: Streptomyces alkaliterrae
Lineage: Bacteria; Bacillati; Actinomycetota; Actinomycetes; Kitasatosporales; Streptomycetaceae
Description: partial 23S ribosomal RNA
Source: RNAcentral
GAUAGGCCGGAGAUGGAAGACCUGUGAGGGUUGGAGUUGACCGGUACUAAUAGGCCGAGGGCUUGACCAUAU